ACAAUYCCCUAGYAGCGGCGAGCGAGCGGGAAAGCUCAAAUUUGUAAUCUGGCGUCUACGACGUCCGMKUUGUAAUCUCGAGAAGUGUUUUCCGUGAUAGACCGCAUACAAGUCUCUUGGAACAGAGCGUCAUAGUGGUGAGAACCCAGUACACGAUGCGGAUGCCUAUUACUUUGUGAUACACUUUCGAAGAGUCGAGUUGUUUGGGAAUGCAGCUCAAAUUGGGUGGUAAAUUCCAUCUAAAGCUAAAUAUUGGCGAGAGACCGAUAGCGAACAAGUACCGUGAGGGAAAGAUGAAAAGCACUUUGGAAAGAGAGUUAACAGUACGUGAAAUUGUUGGAAGGGAAACACAUGCAGCCAGACUUGCUAUUCGGGGCAACUCGAUUGGCAGGCCCGCAUCAGUUUUUCGGGGCGGAAAAGCAUAGAGAGAAGGUAGCAAUUUCGGUUGUGUUAUAGCUCUUUAUUGGAUUCGCCCUGGGGGACUGAGGAACGCAGCGUGCUUUUAGCAUAAGCUUCGGCUUAUCCACGCUUAGGAUGCGGGUGUAAUGGCUGUAUAUGACCCGUCUUGAAACACGGACC
This 579-nucleotide ribosomal RNA is filed under the name Sporobolomyces roseus. RNAcentral's name for it is "partial large subunit ribosomal RNA". It matches the Rfam family "Eukaryotic large subunit ribosomal RNA", at positions 72 to 667 of the family's 3401-position model. Lineage: Eukaryota; Fungi; Basidiomycota; Microbotryomycetes; Sporidiobolales; Sporidiobolaceae. The record is from RNAcentral.